UACGGAGGGUGCAAGCGUUAUCCGGAUUCACUGGGUUUAAAGGGUGCGUAGGCGGCUUUAUAAGUCAUUGGUGAAAGCUCGCAGCUUAACUGUAAAACUGCCAAUGAAACUGUUUAGCUUGAAUGUGGUUGAAGUGGGCGGAAUACAACAUGUAGCGGUGAAAUGCUUAGAUAUGUUGUAGAACACCGAUUGCGAAGGCAGCUCACUAAGCCAAUUAUUGACGCUGAGGCACGAAAGCGGGGUAGCGAACAGG
Molecule: ribosomal RNA, 253 nt
Filed under: uncultured bacterium
Lineage: Bacteria
Description: partial 16S ribosomal RNA
Rfam family: Bacterial small subunit ribosomal RNA
Source: RNAcentral